RNAcentral lists this unclassified non-coding RNA (347 nucleotides) under soil metagenome. RNAcentral describes it as "partial contains 5.8S ribosomal RNA, internal transcribed spacer 2, and large subunit ribosomal RNA". The stretch from base 1 to 120 matches the Rfam family "5.8S ribosomal RNA", at positions 35 to 154 of the family's 154-position model. The record is from RNAcentral.
GAUGAAGAACGCAGCGAAAUGCGAUAAGUAGUGUGAAUUGCAGAUUUCAGUGAAUCAUCGAAUCUUUGAACGCACAUUGCGCCCUUUGGUAUUCCUUAGGGCAUGCCUGUUCGAGCGUCAUUUAAACCUUCAAGCUCAGCUUGGUGAUGGGUGACUGUCCGCUGCCUCCCCCCGGGGUGCGCCGCGGACUCGCCUCAAAACGAUUGGCGGCCGGUACGUUGGCUUCGAGCGCAGCAGAAACGCGUAACUCGAGGACCCCGUGGCGGCUCCCAGAAGCAACCUUAUUAUUUUGACCUCGGAUCAGGUAGGGAUACCCGCUGAACUUAAGCAUAUCAAUAAGCGGAGGA